This 519-nucleotide ribosomal RNA is filed under the name uncultured Bacillus sp. RNAcentral's name for it is "partial 16S ribosomal RNA". The record is from RNAcentral. Lineage: Bacteria; Bacillati; Bacillota; Bacilli; Caryophanales; Bacillaceae.
CACGUAGUUAGCCGUGGCUUUCUGGUUAGGUACCGUCAAGGUACCGGCAGUUACUCCGAUACUUGUUCUUCCCUAACAACAGAACUUUACGACCCGAAGGCCUUCAUCGUUCACGCGGCGUUGCUCCGUCAGACUUUCGUCCAUUGCGGAAGAUUCCCUACUGCUGCCUCCCGUAGGAGUCUGGGCCGUGUCUCAGUCCCAGUGUGGCCGAUCACCCUCUCAGGUCGGCUACGCAUCGUCGCCUUGGUGAGCCGUUACCUCACCAACUAGCUAAUGCGCCGCGGGCCCAUCUAUAAGUGACAGCCGAAACCGUCUUUCAGCUUUCCCUCAUGUGAGGAAAAGGAUUAUCCGGUAUUAGCUCCGGUUUCCCGAAGUUAUCCCAGUCUUAUAGGCAGGUUGCCCACGUGUUACUCACCCGUCCGCCGCUAACCAUCAGGAGCAAGCUCCUAAUGAUUCGCUCGACUUGCAUGUAUUAGGCACGCCGCCAGCGUUGUCCUGAGCCAGGAGUCAAACUCUACG